Cyprinus carpio (common carp) is the source of this 1693-nucleotide long non-coding RNA. The record is from Ensembl. NCBI's taxonomy places the organism in Eukaryota, Metazoa, Chordata, Actinopteri, Cypriniformes, Cyprinidae.
GACCUUCGGGUUAUAAGUCCAAAUUCCAACAAAACCUUUUUUUUUCUUCCAUUCCAGGAGAUGUUUCCCUGUAAACAGUGCCAGGACGUGCUUAAUAACUCAUGAAACUUCCUGCUAACUCACAGCAGAUGCAAGACCAGCUCAGAAGAAGCUGUAUGAGGUAAGUCAAAUCUUUCUAUUUAAUAUUACUAAGCUACUGUAUAUGCUCUUUCAGUUUAUCCUUACGUGUGUAAUGGAUUGUGCAGUUAAGUUGCUUAUCAUGUUUAUGAUUUUAUAAAACAAUACGAUAGAAGAUGAUAAAACAAUAGAAGCAAUAUGAUAGAAGAUAUCAGUGUUCAAAAAAUAUUUACCUUUAUACAUGAAUAAUAUUCAGAAUGAAAUCAUCUUCCACGUUAUAUAGGUGUAAUUAGGCUUUAAUAUGUAUUUCAGACAAUUUAUAUUGAAUUUCAAAUCUGGAAAUAUCUCAUUUUUAAUAAGUUAUUAUUAUUUCUGAUAUUCCAGAUUACCAUUUGCUUAGUGAGAAUAAAGCUCUUUCUGAUUACAGAAGGACUUCUACAUUGUGGUUUUAUCUCUGACUUCAUCAUGAGGUUUCUGGUUUCACAGCCUCUGCUGGUGUUCAUAUCAGUCCUGUCACUGACCAGAGCACAAUCAACAUCUGCACCAAUAACAUUAUCAACAGAAGGUACUUUCCUCAAAGAAAAACAGUUCCUAACAAAUGUCUUUAAGCUUAGAUGAAGUUCAGACCAGGUGGACAUUUAACCCUUUAACUGUCACCCCCNNNNNNNNNNNNNNNNNNNNNNNNNNNNNNNNNNNNNNNNNNNNNNNNNNNNNNNNNNNNNNNNUGAGGUUCCUGUGAGAUUUUAUUUAGCGCGUCAUGCCACAAACAGCCACUGGGUGCCAUCAAAAAUCCUUUGAAUUUUGUUUAAUGAAUUUUUCCUCUAGAUUUCAAAAUAACCACCAAAUAUGGAAUCCUGAGACUCAGACCUUUCCAAUUAUAUGUUUGUUGCCAAGAUUAUAAAAGUUUUUAUUCUAUGUAAUAUGAUCAUUUUGUAAUAUGACACUUGACACUGCCCACUAAGAGGGAGGAGACAGCUAUAAGAUUUUAAAGUACCAUUUCCAUGGUAACGCAAUGUCCGAUUUCAAAAUGGUUUUCACAGGAUGAAUGUUUCAAAGCUUUCAAAUGAUACAUAAUUCAUGAUGACUACUAAAAGAUUUCAUAGAGACAAAGGACAACAAAAAAAAAGAGCGCCAAGCGUCCCACAGGUGACAGUUAAGGGGUUAAGGCAUAAUGUACAGUAGUAUCACUAAUUACAUAGCUUUUCGCCACAUUAAAGGAGAUAAAAUGUUAUUUUAGAAGAAAAACAUUUAUAAAUCUUACCAGUUUAGUAUAUUAAAUCCAUUACAGCAUACAAAACAAUCAUUCUGGCAAGAAGAUUGUUAUCUUGUCAUAACUGACCAAUCAGAAUCAACUAUUCCAGAGAGCUGUGUAUAAAAUGAAGUGAAGUGACAUGACAAACAGCCAAGUAUGGUGACCCCACACACACCGUGAACGCACACCUGGAGCAGUGGGAAGUCAAACUCUCUAACCAUUAGGCCACGAUUUAUAAAUGUAUUUCUUCUAAAUGUAAUAAUGUUUUUUUUAAAAACAUUAAAAAAAAAUAAAACAUGGGGCAGCUGUGGCCUAAUGGUUAGA